RNAcentral lists this ribosomal RNA (758 nucleotides) under uncultured bacterium. RNAcentral describes it as "bacterial SSU rRNA". It matches the Rfam family "Bacterial small subunit ribosomal RNA", at positions 28 to 776 of the family's 1533-position model. The record is from RNAcentral.
GAUGAACGCUAGCUACAGGCUUAACACAUGCAAGUCGAGGGGCAUCGGGAAGAAGGCUUGCUUUCUUUGCCGGCGACCGGCGCACGGGUGAGUAACACGUAUCCAACCUGCCCUUUACUCGGGGAUAGCCUUUCGAAAGAAAGAUUAAUACCCGAUAGCAUAAUGAUUCCGCAUGGUUUCAUUAUUAAAGGAUUCCGGUAAAGGAUGGGGAUGCGUUCCAUUAGGUUGUUGGUGGGGUAACGGCCCACCAAGCCUUCGAUGGAUAGGGGUUCUGAGAGGAAGGUCCCCCACAUUGGAACUGAGACACGGUCCAAACUCCUACGGGAGGCAGCAGUGAGGAAUAUUGGUCAAUGGGCGCUAGCCUGAACCAGCCAAGUAGCGUGAAGGAUGAAGGCUCUAUGGGUCGUAAACUUCUUUUAUAUAAGAAUAAAGUGCAGUAUGUAUACUGUUUUGUAUGUAUUAUAUGAAUAAGGAUCGGCUAACUCCGUGCCAGCAGCCGCGGUAAUACGGAGGAUCCGAGCGUUAUCCGGAUUUAUUGGGUUUAAAGGGAGCGUAGGUGGACUGGUAAGUCAGUUGUGAAAGUUUGCGGCUCAACCGUAAAAUUGCAGUUGAUACUGUCAGUCUUGAGUACAGUAGAGGUGGGCGGAAUUCGUGGUGUAGCGGUGAAAUGCUUAGAUAUCACGAAGAACUCCGAUUGCGAGGGCAGCUCACUGGACUGCAACUGACACUGAUGCUCGAAAGUGUGGGUAUCAAACAGG